UAGGGAAUCUUCCGCAAUGGGCGAAAGCCUGACGGAGCAACGCCGCGUGAGUGAUGAAGGUCUUCGGAUCGUAAAACUCUGUUAUUAGGGAAGAAUAAAUGUGUAAGUAACUAUGCACGUCUUGACGGUACCUAAUCAGAAAGCCACGGCUAACUACGUGCCAGCAGCCGCGGUAAUACGUAGGUGGCAAGCGUUAUCCGGAAUUAUUGGGCGUAAAGCGCGCGUAGGCGGUUUUUUAAGUCUGAUGUGAAAGCCCACGGCUCAACCGUGGAGAGUCAUUGGAAACUGGAAAACUUGAGUGCAGAAGAGGAAAGUGGAAUUCCAUGUGUAGCGGUGAAAUGCGCAGAGAUAUGGAGGAACACCAGUGGCGAAGGCGACUUUCUGGUCUGUAACUGACGCUGAUGUGCGAAAGCGUGGGGAUCAAACAGG
RNAcentral lists this ribosomal RNA (429 nucleotides) under Bacteroidota bacterium. RNAcentral describes it as "Bacteroidetes bacterium partial 16S ribosomal RNA". It matches the Rfam family "Bacterial small subunit ribosomal RNA", at positions 355 to 776 of the family's 1533-position model. Lineage: Bacteria; Pseudomonadati; Bacteroidota. The record is from RNAcentral.